RNAcentral lists this long non-coding RNA (2068 nucleotides) under Zea mays. Its description in RNAcentral is "long non-coding RNA (ZMAY_LNC002945)". The record is from RNAcentral. Lineage: Eukaryota; Viridiplantae; Streptophyta; Magnoliopsida; Poales; Poaceae.
GAGGCUAGGUUUAACAGAGAAAUCAACAAACUGGAGGCCAUACACAAGGUACGCUAUAGUUUCUACUUUCUACUAAAAUUUUUGCGCCGUGGUCUCUGUGUUGGAUCCAGUUACCUUCUCACGCCUGUUCAACUCGGCCUCCUUGGCCAGAAGCUCCUUCUCCCUUGUCUUCCUGUCCUGCGUGAGUGGACAGGACAACCAAGCAAGAAUGGUUUACAUGCUACUAGAAUUACGCCAAUACUAACAUCCAUCUAGUGGUUUAAAUAGCUGCAGUUACCUUGUUGUUUGUGUCGUCCAUGGGGAUAUCCACUGGAGUAGCGAAGUCAUUGUAGAAGCCAGCAGGUUCAGGAGCAAGCGGCGAAAGGCGUGUGCUAGGAGGAGCCGGGCGUUGCGACUGCUGCGUACGUGAACUCAAUGUCGCGAUCGUAUGGUCAUCCAUCCAAAACAUUUUUAUUUUUUAACCCCCCCCCUUUUUUUUUUGGUUACUGAAAACAUUGCACUCACCGUCGUGUAGAAAGCGCCGCCAGAAUAGCUGGACUGAGCCGUCGGUCCUCCUCGUUUAGCUUGGUCCUGGAGAAUAGAUCAGCAUGAGUGCAGAAUUGCAGCUAACCACUUAACCUAACUCCUGUUAUCCCUUAGCACGCCUCGUUACUGAAAGAAAAAAAAAUAUGAACGAACCGCUUUGUUUCUGGCGUAGAUGCUUAUGUUGUCAUAAUCGAGAAUGUGUUAGCAUGUACCAUAUGCAACUUUCUCUUCAUUUCUUUUGAAAUUUGUUGUCAUCAUCAACGCACAACGGCGCAAGUACUCUAGCUUGAAUCUUUUUUUUUUGAAAGAAACUGGAAUGUUAAUAAGUAUACUUGGGCAUACAUAGUAUGAACUUGAAGUAAUUUAUAUGGUCAUGGGCUCAUGACACAAGGUUUUUUUUUCAGGGAACGUUAAUAAGGACCUGAACAUACGUAUGAAGCCGCAGCGGGGUAUGUCAGUAUAUGGUUAGCCUAUUACCAGGUCUCCAACAGCUCCCAUAUUCUAUCUUACAUCCCAUCCUUUAUUUUAAAUUUUACUUUUUCCAAAUAAAUAUUAUCAUCUACAGUACCGUGUCAUCUAUCUUACACGACACGACAGUCUAAACCGGCAACAAGAUAUUACUCGAAUCCUUCCAUCGGAAGUUUGAGAAUAAAUUUGAAUUUUCAGAAGGCAGCCGAUUACAACGCACUAGAAUAUGUGUGUUAAAGGCCACUUUCCCUAUCAGGUUGGUGCGUACAGUUGGAGGGAAAAAAAUUGAAGAUACAAAUUAAAACUAAUCGUCUCCUUGGCCGAGCUCAGAUCCCCUGCACGAUCAUGAUUAUGUAGAAAUUCCGACACGAUUCAAUUCAAUUGCAUUGAUAUAGAGUCUGUGUGAUCGGGUGUAGUCUCUGCAAGAUGAUAUCAAUCUAAUCUCUUGUCUUUCUCUAUCAUUCCUUGGCUUUCCCCCCUUCUUUUUUUUGAAGGAUACUGUUCUUUGUCAUCGCAAGCGAGCUUGGCAGAAGGUUUGAUGACGAAGCAGGAGCAUCAACUCGAAAUAUGAAAAAAGCAACUCCGGAUGAACGAAGCGAACAAGGAGAUACGCAGAAGCAAUCAAUCAAAGCAGGGGGAAAGGAAGAGCCGGACGGAGCUCAUCGCCGGCGCGAGCUGGGCCUGGGCUGGGCAGGGCAGGCAGGAUUACCGCGAAAGGGUUGACCUCGGCCGCGGCUGCGCCCUCCUCGAAGGGGUUGUCGUACGUCGAUCUCCCCGCCAUGGACCUUUCCUUCCCUCCUGCCGGUUCCUUGCUCUGCUCCGCUCCGCUCCGAGGUCAGCAAGGAGGGCAGGACCAACCGGAAGAAGCAGCAGCCUACUUGGACCUCGGUUCCUUGUGUACUCCUCCCCCACCCCCACCUAGUACUGAAAAUUUGGGCAGACCGGCCAGCCCGGUCUAAGUCUGUGUUUUCGGACUAAACGGAUUUAGGUAAAAAGAUCUGAUUUUUUGGACUGUACAGUGCCAGUCAAAUAAAAACAGUGUCCGAGCCCCGAUUCUAAAGAACGUCGUUUUUUU